This 500-nucleotide ribosomal RNA is filed under the name uncultured bacterium. RNAcentral describes it as "partial 16S ribosomal RNA". It matches the Rfam family "Bacterial small subunit ribosomal RNA", at positions 30 to 523 of the family's 1533-position model. The record is from RNAcentral.
AUUGAACGCUGGCGGAAUGCUUUACACAUGCAAGUCGAACGGCAGCACGGACUUCGGUCUGGUGGCGAGUGGCGAACGGGUGAGUAAUGUAUCGGAACGUGCCCAGUCGUGGGGGAUAACGUAGUGAAAAUUACGCUAAUACCGCAUACGAUCUAUGGAUGAAAGCGGGGGAUCGCAAGACCUCGCGCGAUUGGAGCGGCCGAUAUCAGAUUAGGUAGUUGGUGGGGUAAAGGCCCACCAAGCCAACGAUCUGUAGCUGGUCUGAGAGGACGACCAGCCACACUGGAACUGAGACACGGUCCAGACUCCUACGGGAGGCGGCAGUGGGGAAUUUUGGACAGUGGGCGAAAGCCUGAUCCAGCCAUUCCGCGUGCAGGAUGAAGGCCCUCGGGUUGUAAACUGCUUUUGUACAGAGCGAAAAGGUUUCUACUAAUACUAGGAGCUCAUGACGGUACUGUAAGAAUAAGCACCGGCUAACUACGUGCCAGCAGCCGCCGUAA